This 455-nucleotide ribosomal RNA is filed under the name uncultured bacterium. Its description in RNAcentral is "SSU rRNA". It matches the Rfam family "Bacterial small subunit ribosomal RNA", at positions 26 to 518 of the family's 1533-position model. The record is from RNAcentral.
AGAACGAACGCUGGCGGCAUGCCUAACACAUGCAAGUCGAACGCUCUUGGGGCUUCGGUUCCAAGGGAGUGGCGCACGGGUGAGUAGCGCGUGGGAACCUGCCCUGGAGUGGGGGAUAACCGAGGGAAACUUCGGCUAAUACCGCAUACGCCGGGAAACCGGGAAAGAUUUAUCGCUCUAGGAGGGGCCCGCGUCGGAUUAGGUAGUUGGUGGGGUAACGGCUUACCAAGCCUGUGAUCCGUAGCUGGUCUGAGAGGAUGAUCAGCCACACUGGGACUGAGACACGGCCCAGACUCCUACGGGAGGCAGCAGUGGGGAAUAUUGGACAAUGGGCGCAAGCCUGAUCCAGCAAUGCCGCGUGAGUGAUGAAGGCCUUCGGGUUGUAAAGCUCUUUCGCACGCGACGAUGAUGACGGUAGCGUGAGAAGAGCCCGGCUAACUCGUGCCAGCAGCCGC